GGCGUCAUGGAUUAGUUGGUUAAAGCGCCUGUCUAGUAAACAGGAGAUCCUGAUUUCGAAUCUCAGUGGUGCCU
Molecule: transfer RNA, 74 nt
Filed under: Saccoglossus kowalevskii
Lineage: Eukaryota; Metazoa; Hemichordata; Enteropneusta; Harrimaniidae
Description: tRNA-Thr
Rfam family: tRNA
About the family: Transfer RNA (tRNA) molecules are approximately 80 nucleotides in length. Their secondary structure includes four short double-helical elements and three loops (D, anti-codon, and T loops).
Source: RNAcentral